GAUGAACGCUGGCGGCGUGCCUAAUACAUGCAAGUAGAACGCUGAAGGAGGAGCUUGCUCUUCUGGAUGAGUUGCGAACGGGUGAGUAACGCGUAGGUAACCUGCCUGGUAGCGGGGGAUAACUAUUGGAAACGAUAGCUAAUACCGCAUGACAACAGUUAUUGCAUGAUAACUGUUUAAAAGGGGCAACUGCUCCACUACCAGAUGGACCUGCGUUGUAUUAGCUAGUUGGUGAGGUAACGGCUCACCAAGGCGACGAUACAUAGCCGACCUGAGAGGGGGAUCGGCCACACUGGGACGGAGACACGGCCCAGACUCCUACGGGAGGCAGCAGUAGGGAAUCUUCGGCAAUGGACGGAAGUCUGACCGAGCAACGCCGCGGGAGUGAAGAAGGUUUUCGGAUCGGAAAGCUCUGUUGUAAGAGAAGAACGAGUGUGAGAGUGGAAAGUUCACACUGUGACGGUAUCUUACCAGAAAGGGACGGCUAACUACGUG
This 495-nucleotide ribosomal RNA is filed under the name uncultured bacterium. Its description in RNAcentral is "partial 16S ribosomal RNA". It matches the Rfam family "Bacterial small subunit ribosomal RNA", at positions 28 to 507 of the family's 1533-position model. The record is from RNAcentral.